AUUGAACGCUGGCGGCAUGCCUUACACAUGCAAGUCGAACGGCAGCGGGGGAGAAGCUUGCUUUUCCUGCCGGCGAGUGGCGAACGGGUGAGUAAUACAUCGGAACGUGCCCUGAAGUGGGGGAUAACUAGUCGAAAGAUUAGCUAAUACCGCAUACGACCUGAGGGUGAAAGUGGGGGACCGCAAGGCCUCAUGCUAUAGGAGCGGCCGAUGUCUGAUUAACUAGUUGGUGGGGUAAAAGCCUACCAAGGCGACGAUCAGUAGCUGGUCUGAGAGGACGAUCAGCCACACUGGGACUGAGACACGGCCCAGACUCCUACGGGAGGCAGCAGUGGGGAAUUUUGGACAAUGGGCGAAAGCCUGAUCCAGCAAUGCCGCGUGUGUGAAGAAGGCCUUCGGGUUGUAAAGCACUUUUGUCCGGAAAGAAAUGGCUCUGGUUAAUACCUGGGGUCGAUGACGGUACCGGAAGAAUAAGGACCGGCUAACUACGUGCCAGCCGCCGCGGUAA
Molecule: ribosomal RNA, 508 nt
Filed under: uncultured bacterium
Lineage: Bacteria
Description: partial 16S ribosomal RNA
Rfam family: Bacterial small subunit ribosomal RNA
Source: RNAcentral